This is a long non-coding RNA of Drosophila pseudoobscura, 149 nucleotides long. RefSeq lists it as uncharacterized. Lineage: Eukaryota; Metazoa; Arthropoda; Insecta; Diptera; Drosophilidae. The record is from RefSeq and is a predicted model, not a curated record. The transcript is spliced from 3 exons.
UCGUUCCGAAUCGUUUCGUUAUGCGUAAUCCACGUAAUCGUAUGUCGUCGUAAGAAUCAAAAUAUAUAUUCGUAAUAAUACUAUUGCCAGAAGCCGAUCCUUGGACUGAAGUGCCUUAAACCGAUCCUUGGACUGAAGUGCCUUAAGGU